Molecule: ribosomal RNA, 253 nt
Filed under: uncultured bacterium
Lineage: Bacteria
Description: partial 16S ribosomal RNA
Rfam family: Bacterial small subunit ribosomal RNA
Source: RNAcentral
GACGGAGGGUGCUAGCGUUGUUCGGAAUUACUGGGCGUAAAGCGCACGCAGGCGGUCUUGUAAGUUUGACGUGAAAGCUCCCGGCUUAACUGGGAGAGGUCGUUGAAUACUGCGAGACUUGAGUUUAGGAGAGGGGUGUAGAAUUCCCGGUGUAGUGGUGGAAUGCGUAGAUAUCGGGGGGAAUACCAGUGGCGAAAGCGGCACCCUAGCCUUUGACUGACGCUCAUGUGCGAAAGCGUGGGGAGCGAACGGG